This 968-nucleotide ribosomal RNA is filed under the name Microbacterium pumilum. RNAcentral's name for it is "bacterial SSU rRNA". It matches the Rfam family "Bacterial small subunit ribosomal RNA", at positions 53 to 1011 of the family's 1533-position model. The record is from RNAcentral. Lineage: Bacteria; Bacillati; Actinomycetota; Actinomycetes; Micrococcales; Microbacteriaceae.
ACUAAAGCUACACGUAGAGUGUGAUCACAGACGGUGAAAGCGGCAGCUUGCUCUGCUGGAUCAGUGGCGAACGGGUGAGUAACACGUGAGCAAUCUGCCCCUGACUCUGGGAUAAGCGCUGGAAACGGCGUCUAAUACCGGAUACGAGCUGCGAAGGCAUCUUCAGCAGCUGGAAAGAACUUCGGUCAGGGAUGAGCUCGCGGCCUAUCAGCUAGUUGGUGAGGUAACGGCUCACCAAGGCGUCGACGGGUAGCCGGCCUGAGAGGGUGACCGGCCACACUGGGACUGAGACACGGCCCAGACUCCUACGGGAGGCAGCAGUGGGGAAUAUUGCACAAUGGGCGCAAGCCUGAUGCAGCAACGCCGCGUGAGGGACGACGGCCUUCGGGUUGUAAACCUCUUUUAGCAGGGAAGAAGCGAAAGUGACGGUACCUGCAGAAAAAGCACCGGCUAACUACGUGCCAGCAGCCGCGGUAAUACGUAGGGUGCAAGCGUUAUCCGGAAUUAUUGGGCGUAAAGAGCUCGUAGGCGGUUUGUCGCGUCUGCUGUGAAAACCCGAGGCUCAACCUCGGGCCUGCAGUGGGUACGGGCAGACUAGAGUGCGGUAGGGGAGAUUGGAAUUCCUGGUGUAGCGGUGGAAUGCGCAGAUAUCAGGAGGAACACCGAUGGCGAAGGCAGAUCUCUGGGCCGUAACUGACGCUGAGGAGCGAAAGGGUGGGGAGCAAACAGGCUUAGAUACCCUGGUAGUCCACCCCGUAAACGUUGGGAACUAGUUGUGGGGACCAUUCCACGGUUUCCGUGACGCAGCUAACGCAUUAAGUUCCCCGCCUGGGGAGUACGGCCGCAAGGCUAAAACUCAAAGGAAUUGACGGGGACCCGCACAAGCGGCGGAGCAUGCGGAUUAAUUCGAUGCAACGCGAAGAACCUUACCAAGGCUUGACAUAUACGAGAACGGGCCAGAAAUGGUC